Molecule: ribosomal RNA, 497 nt
Filed under: uncultured bacterium
Lineage: Bacteria
Description: partial 16S ribosomal RNA
Rfam family: Bacterial small subunit ribosomal RNA
Source: RNAcentral
GAUGAACGCUGGCGGCGUGCCUAAUACAUGCAAGUCGAGCGAACGGACGAGAAGCGUUCUUCUCUGAUGUUAGCGGCGGACGGGUGAGUAACACGUGGAUAGCCUACCUAUAAGACUGGGAUAACUUCGGGAAACCGGAUCUAAUACCGGAUAAUAUUUUGAACCGCAUGGUUCAAAAGUGAAAGACGGUCUUGCUGUCACUUAUAGAUGGAUCCGCGCUGCAUUAGCUAGUUGGUAAGGUAACGGCUUACCAAGGCAACGAUGCAUAGCCGACCUGAGAGGGUGAUCGGCCACACUGGAACUGAGACACGGUCCAGACUCCUACGGGAGGCAGCAGUAGGGAAUCUUCCGCAAUGGGCGAAAGCCUGACGGAGCAACGCCGCGUGAGUGAUGAAGGUCUUCGGAUCGUAAAACUCUGUUAUUAGGGAAGAACAUAUGUGUAAGUAACUGUGCACAUCUUGACGGUACCUAAUCAGAAAGCCACGGCUAACUACGUG